UUUGAAAUGAUAAUUAAAAAAUCAUGAUAAAAAUAUGAAAACUACAUUAAACGCAAAAUGCCUUGACGUUGAAGGCAAGAAUUGGGUCCAAAUGACUUUCAUUUAUGGUAGCAAUCUUUUUCCCUACGUUGCCCACCACAUAUACCUCAUUCUCAUUGCAUGCACGACCUUAUAAAAAAAUUUAGAGAAAUUAUUUCUAAUGCCAUAUACAAGUAUCUUUUAACGACAUAAUUAAAAUUUAAUUAUAAAAUAUCUCUUUCUUUGAACAGACAUUCUUUCUAAUUAUCAUGACUCCAAACCUGGCAAACGUAUAUUUAUUCAAAUUGAAACCUGGGUUGUGGGAUUCUGUUGUAAAUGGCCGUGCGGGGGACUGUGAGGGCAGUUUUAGAGCAUCCAGUUUCGAUGUCUGUGGCUUGGGAGCCUCCACCAGUUGGAUGGUUUAGAUGAAGUCGAUGUUGCUGAGGUAGGAGUCUUACGCUUUGAUUUACAGCUCACUCGGUAGAUUAGUUUGUCUCCACUGAUGUAGAGUCAGGUCAUUCAGUUUGUGUUGGGUCCACAACAUUUGCAUUGUUAUCUUUAUAUUGUACUCUCCUGAAAUAACGAGAUUUUAUUUAUUUAUUUAUUUUUAAAGAAACACUUUUAACUUGUUUCCGAAGGUAAAUAAACAAUAGAUAUUGUUUUAAUGCCGAACCAAGCAAAUGUAAGUUACACUCAUUAGAUCUCGUUAUAAUACAAACGAUUCAAUCAGAUUCUUUAUGAUUCUUUACGAGAAAUUAGAUGACACUCUAAUCCAAACGACUUCAACAAAAAGAUUUUGAUAAAUAAUUGCAAAGGAAAUUAUAAAAGACGGAUUUUAUUGAAUAAUUGGAGUUAUAAAAAAAAAUAAUAUCUCCCUAUUUAUAAUAGGGCAAACCUACUUCCCUAAGUUAAUUUCAAUAGAAAAUUAAAUUACAAUUAUAAUAAAAAUAAAAUACUAAAGCAUAUACUAUAAUUGUCUCUAAUUAAAAUAGAAAAUAUGAAAAUACCUAAAUAACAAAAUUCUAAAAUUCUAAAAUAAUGUUAUAGCUGUAUUAAUUUCUUUCACUAUAAGAAACUAAACCAACGAAGGUAUUUUUCUUUUCUUUUCUUUUUUUCAAGAUUAGAGGCAUAAUGUUUUUUACUUGUGUGAAGUUUGAAACUUUUAAUAAGAUUAUCAAUUUAAGUAAUAAUAUAUUAUGUGUUUCAAACAAGUGAUAACAAAUCCACACAUUGGAUUUGUGAUAUAUGAAAUACAAUUAAUCUAGGUGAGCCGACUACCGAGUUCUCUAAUUGUUUUGGGAGAAUCAAAAGUGAUUUUAAAAAGUUAAAAAUUAAUUUUAGUAUUUGAUUAUUUUUUUCCAAAAUUAUUUUUGGCAAAAUUAUCCCAUCUUAUAAUAAAUUUUGAAAUAAAGGGAAGGAAUGACUUUUCAAAAUCGACUUUGAGAAUUAAUUUUACAUUUAAUAAAAUUAAUAUAUAUCCUCACAAAUAAUUGGAAAAUCCAAUAUUAUCCUAAUUCAAUUCGGAAAUAAAAUUAUUAAACUUAAAGAGAUUAUUAUUAUUACUAU
RNAcentral lists this long non-coding RNA (1584 nucleotides) under Citrus x clementina. RNAcentral's name for it is "Citrus clementina (C. clementina) long non-coding RNA (CCLE_LNC002561)". The record is from RNAcentral. Lineage: Eukaryota; Viridiplantae; Streptophyta; Magnoliopsida; Sapindales; Rutaceae.